UGAACGUCACCUUCUUGAGAAAC
Molecule: microRNA, 23 nt
Filed under: Echinops telfairi (small Madagascar hedgehog)
Lineage: Eukaryota; Metazoa; Chordata; Mammalia; Afrosoricida; Tenrecidae
Description: Ete-Mir-506-P5d_3p* (star (passenger))
Source: RNAcentral